CUGCAUCCACUGAUAGACCUUGAACAAUUGGCUGUUGUUCUUUUGGUUUGCACUAGGAUGCAAAAGAAAGAAAUCCCUGCGCUUUCUGUCUGUCUUUGUGGCGGCCCAGAUUGAAUUGGGGAAUACAUCU
Molecule: small nucleolar RNA, 130 nt
Organism: Aotus nancymaae (Ma's night monkey)
Lineage: Eukaryota; Metazoa; Chordata; Mammalia; Primates; Aotidae
Source: Ensembl